CAGAACAGGUUCUCAGACUAUGAGAAGAGGAAGGAACAGAAGAUGCUGGAGAAACUCGAGUUUGAACGGCGCCUGGAACUGGGGCAGCGGGAGCACGCCCAGCUCCUUCAGCAGAGCAGCAGCCAGAAGGAUGAGAUCCUUCAGACGGUCAAGGAGGAGCAGUCCCGGCUAGAGCAGGGCCUGAGUGAGCGCCAGCGCCAGCUCGACGCAGAGCGGCAGCGGCUGCAGGAACAGCUGAAGCAGACGGAACAGAACAUCUCCAGCCGGAUCCAGAAGCUGUUGCGGGACAAUCAGAGACAAAAGAAAAGCUCCGAGAUUUUGAAAUCGCUGGAAAAUGAAAGAAUAAGAAUGGAACAGUUGAUGUCCAUAACCCAGGAGGAGACUGAGAACCUGCGGCGACGUGAGGUUGCCUCCGCCAUGCAGCAGAUGCUGACUGAGAGCUGUAAGAACCGGCUCAUCCAGAUGGCCUACGAAUCUCAGAGGCAGAACUUGGUCCAGCAGGCCUGUUCCAGGUUCCACAGGUGCCCAACAGAGCCAGUGGGGAAAACUCAGUCAGUGCUCAGGAGCCCCAGACAGGGACAGGCCAGCAGCCCUGGAUGCCCUGUUUCUCCUCCCAUGCAGGUGGCUGGCACAGCUGCCACCCUCCAGGGCACCUGGACUGUGCGGGCCUCCCCUGGGUCCCUGCAGAUGUGGGAAUUUCUCCCCCCGUCCUGAUAUGUGACACUGUGCUUAGGAGUUGCAAGCUCAGGGGUCAAACAGACCUGGAUCCAGGUCCCACUUCUGCUUACUAACCGUGAGGUCUCAGGCCAAGGGAUUCAGACAGACUCAGUGUCUGUGGCCCACCCAGGGCCCGGCUCCCAGCAGGUACUCC
RNAcentral lists this small RNA (871 nucleotides) under Pongo abelii (Sumatran orangutan). RNAcentral's name for it is "processed transcript". Lineage: Eukaryota; Metazoa; Chordata; Mammalia; Primates; Hominidae. The record is from RNAcentral.